CCCUGGUGGCUCAGAUGGUAAAGAGUCUGCCUGCAAUGCAGGAGACCUGGGUUCAAAUCCUGGGUCAGGAA
Molecule: non-coding RNA, 71 nt
Organism: Bos taurus (domestic cattle)
Lineage: Eukaryota; Metazoa; Chordata; Mammalia; Artiodactyla; Bovidae
Source: Rfam